GCCUCCGUGGCGCAGUGGUUUGCGCGGUGGAUUUACAAGACGUAGGUCCUGGGUUCGAUCCCCGGCUGGGCCG
Molecule: transfer RNA, 73 nt
Filed under: Bicyclus anynana (squinting bush brown)
Lineage: Eukaryota; Metazoa; Arthropoda; Insecta; Lepidoptera; Nymphalidae
Rfam family: tRNA
About the family: Transfer RNA (tRNA) molecules are approximately 80 nucleotides in length. Their secondary structure includes four short double-helical elements and three loops (D, anti-codon, and T loops).
Source: Rfam by way of RNAcentral